Molecule: non-coding RNA, 70 nt
Filed under: pig gut metagenome
Description: S10-Clostridia ribosomal protein leader
Rfam family: S10-Clostridia ribosomal protein leader
Source: RNAcentral
GCGUUGAAGCGGGAGGUUGCAGCUUUCCGGCUGGUUUUUCCGUGGAGUAUGUCCGAUUUUAAACCGGGCG